UGAGGUCUCAGACUGGGUCCAAGUACAGCUCUGCCCCUUCAUUGGGAAAACUUGGCUACUUUCAUUUCUGAGCCUCAAAGUCUUCAUAUGCUAAAAGAAACAUUAGUAUUUACCUUGAAGGACUAUUGCAUCAGAUGAGAAAACAGCUGGAGCCCUUAACAGUGAGUUUCCCUGUCCUGUGGAUCAUGAUCUACAGGUCAUUCCUGCAGUGGAGAGCUCAGCAUCCUCUGCUGCAGGGAAGCUCGCUGCCAGACAUGAACUUGGUGAAGGAAAGCUCCGAGGGUCUUGCAUUGAUUCUUCUUCCUCCCAGUCUCUGCUUCUGCUUCUAUCAUGUCAUCAGCAUUUGGUUUUGAAGAAGAAACACCAUCAGGUAUUUGUUGAAUUCACAUGAUCAAGACACUGAGGACAAUGCAAAAAUGAUGAGAGAUGGUACCCAGCCUGAUGGAACUUACACUCGGUUCGGGAGAUGAAUCAUAGCCACUUGAAAAGUUAACUACAUUUCAAGACAGAAGAAGUGGAUGAGGAAGCAGAGGAAGUAUCCCAGGACUGUGGCUCACCUCAUGCUGAAGUGUGGAAGGUGGCUUCAGGAAGCUCAUGGGAGUCGGCCCAGACAUACCAGACUUUGGAGCUAAGUGCCAGCCCACCAGGACUCCUCUGCCACAUGUUUCCUCCAUGGUGUACUGCUUCACUGAAGGCACAAAGCAAGGGACCAAUAAACCAUCAACUGAAACCUCUGAAACAAUAAGCCAAAAUAAACCUUUCUUUCUUACAA
Molecule: non-coding RNA, 772 nt
Organism: Ictidomys tridecemlineatus (thirteen-lined ground squirrel)
Lineage: Eukaryota; Metazoa; Chordata; Mammalia; Rodentia; Sciuridae
Source: RefSeq, a predicted model, not a curated record